Molecule: ribosomal RNA, 433 nt
Filed under: Nocardioides sp.
Lineage: Bacteria; Bacillati; Actinomycetota; Actinomycetes; Propionibacteriales; Nocardioidaceae
Description: bacterial SSU rRNA
Rfam family: Bacterial small subunit ribosomal RNA
Source: RNAcentral
GCUCAGGACGAACGCUGGCGGCGUGCUUAACACAUGCAAGUCGAGCGGAAAGGCCCUUCGGGGUACUCGAGCGGCGAACGGGUGAGUAACACGUGAGUAAUCUGCCCUCCACUUUGGGAUAGCCACCGGAAACGGUGAUUAAUACCGGAUAUGACCUGUGCCCGCAUGGGUGUUGGUGGAAAGUUUUUCGGUGGGGGAUGUGCUCGCGGCCUAUCAGCUUGAUGGUGGGGUAAUGGCCUACCAUGGCUUCGACGGGUAGCCGGCCUGAGAGGGUGACCGGCCACACUGGGACUGAGACACGGCCCAGACUCCUACGGGAGGCAGCAGUGGGGAAUAUUGGACAAUGGGCGGAAGCCUGAUCCAGCAACGCCGCGUGAGGGAUGACGGCCUUCGGGUUGUAAACCUCUUUCGGUGGGGACGAAGCGAAAGUGAC